UACGUAGGGUGCGAGCGUUGUCCGGAAUUAUUGGGCGUAAAGAGCUCGUAGGCGGUGUGUCGCGUCGGUCGUGAAAACUUGGGGCUUAACCCUGAGCUUGCGGUCGAUACGGGCAUCACUGGAGUUCGGCAGGGGAGACUGGAAUUCCUGGUGUAGCGGUGAAAUGCGCAGAUAUCUGGAGGAAUACCGGUGGCGAAGGCGGCAUCCUGGACCGGCAUUGACGCUGAGGAGCGAAAGCUAGGGGAGCAAACGGG
RNAcentral lists this ribosomal RNA (254 nucleotides) under uncultured bacterium. Its description in RNAcentral is "partial 16S ribosomal RNA". It matches the Rfam family "Bacterial small subunit ribosomal RNA", at positions 524 to 776 of the family's 1533-position model. The record is from RNAcentral.